CCGGAAUUGUGAACAAACAAGGAGAACUAUAUCUGCCUUCAAAGUCAUAGAAAAUAUGCAUAAAAUUAUCACAUAGUAUCAGAAAUCCCAAUUCACGAACCUUAGUAGUCAACUCAAAAUCGCCAUUUUUCCAGGACCCAUUUCUUACAAACCCAUCACAAGCACAAAUCUUCCUCAAAGUCGCCAAUAUCAAUCCGAUGGCUGUAUCAGCCACAUCUUCUGUUAGCACAUCAGGCGUGUUUGUAACUCUGAUCCCUCUUUUUUCACAUUUAUUCAAAUCAAUCUUGUCCACUCCGACACUGUAACUCGCCACGAUUUGCAAAUGCGGUAGUGCAUCAAUCAGGUCGGAGUCGGCAUUAAAUGAAGCGUUGCCAACCACUGCGAGAAUUGAAUCAGAUUUUUGUUCCAAAAACUGGGUUUCGGAACGCGAUUCCCAAAAUCUGAAGAGUGUGAAGCGCUUUUCGAGUUCUUCUUCGAGAUAGGCUAACAUGGGACAAGUCAUUAGCACGCCCACGCCCUCCAUUUUUUUCUGCAGUAAAUAACAUCCCAAGUUUGACAAGUAUAUAUUGAGCUUCAAAACGACCAUUAUCUUCUAAUGAUUUAAAAAGUGUAAAAUGUCAAAGGGUCGAAUGAAUUUGACUCUGAUUGAAUAGAGAACAUUUUCAAUUUUAGGUGAGUUUUAAAUUCUCAACUAGUCUAUAACCGAAUCAGUUCUUUUAUUUUUCCAAUCAUAUCGAUCAGCCUUAAUUUUGAUAGUAAGGUGUUUUUCAACUCAAUCGUAUAAUGAAGAGAGAGAUUUUAUGCUCAAGAUCGGUUGUUUUUCAACUCAAUGGUAUGAUAAUAUCUUAAUACAUUCUUUACUAAUUUUAUUCAUUUCGUCCAUAUUAACAACUAAUUUGCAAUAUCUUCUCCUGCAUAAGAACAUGCUUGAGUGAAUUAGCAAUGAUUCAAAGAACUUCUGUCUCCUAAUCCAUCAUCAUUGAACGACAAAAGCAGCUGAAGUCAUUAGUCUUUAACUCCUUGUUCGAAUAAGUUACUAAGGCCCAAAAAGUAACAUAAAUUUGGCAGGCCUAGAACAAUACCAUGGCAACAACAUUGUCGUGCUUUCCUGUAAUCACUCAGACUUAGCAUCUUUGUCCAAAUCGUUCAAUUUGGGAAAAACCCUGUGCCUAAAACGAACAGUACGAAUAAUAAAACGACUAGAUAACAAAAACCCAAAUCGUUACAAUUGGAACGUAAUCAAAAAAGGGGAGUCAAUAGAGAUUUGUUCGAAAAAUGCGCCUCGAGGUUAUCCACAAUAAGGUCAGCCAUGGCCUUACGAGUUUCCAUCGUGCAAGUUCCCACAUGAGGGGAAAGAACUACAUUAUCCAGGCGGCGGAGAAUCUCGGGCACUUCGGGCUCGUGCUCAAGUACAUCAAGCCCAGCACCUCUCAGCCGGCCUUCAACAAGUGCUGAUAUGAGUUCAGGUUCGUCAAUGUGACCCCCUCUUCCGAUGUUGACGAUAACUCCAUCUGAACGCAACGCGUUUAUGACAUCGCGGUUGACAAUAUGGCGAGUUUCGUCUGUUAAUGCACAUGCCACAAUAAGGAUUUGAGAGUUGGAAGCCAAGUCGAGUACGGAUGGAUAGUAAGUGUAUUUCGAUUUUGACUUUUGCGAGCGUGAAUGAUAGCUGAUUGAACAGCCGAAAGCUUCAGCUCUCUUGGCUAUUGCAGAUCCAAUCCUCCCCAAACCUAUUAUACCAAUUGAUUUGCCACUCAACUGCAAGAAAAUUGGAUAAAUUAUAUUGCAUCAAUUUACGAUUAGAAAAAACUACAAAGACAAAACAAACCUUGUGGGUCAAUUCAAAAUCGCCAUUUUUCCAUAACCCACUCCUCACAAAUCGGUCCGCCGCACAAAUCCUUCUCAGUGUCGCCAAAGUAAGCAAAAUCGCCAAAUCCGCCACCUCCUCCGUCACAACAUCUGGCGUGUAGGUGACACGUAUGCCCUUCUGUUUGCACUUAGGUAAAUCAAUUUUGUCCAACCCGGAGCCAUGAUUCGCUAUGAUUUCUAGAUUUGGGAGCGAGUUGAUUAGUUCCGAGUUAGCACCGUGGAUUCCAUUUCCUACCACUGCGAGUAUAGAUUUUGAAUUUUGAUUGAAAAAUUCGAGCUUGGAAUUUGGGGGAAUUUGCCAGAAUUUGAAAAGGGUGAAUCGUUUGGAGAGCUGUUCUUGGAGGUAAUUUGACAUUGGGCAAGUUAACAACACGCCUAUGCUUUCCAUUGUCGAUCCGAUCGGAGGAAUUUCAGUUCAUCAUUCACGGAAGGAUUCCUUGAUUUUUCUAGUGCAUAUUCUAACGGAACAUUCAUCCUUUAACUUUGCGAAAGUAAGUACUUAAAUAUUAAUUUUUUUUAUGUUCUUAACUUUCAGUUACCGUGCAAGUUAAUCCCCACUCAAUGAAAACUAUUAGUUUAGCCCCAGUAGUUCAUUCAUUUUCUUCAUGAACAAUGGGAACUAUAAAAAGAAUAAGAAAUAAAGUUUAUUACGAAGCAUUUUUUACAAUAAGUCAACUCUUUUUAGGAGGGUGAUAAUAAGUCGAGCUGAGCUAGCCACCUAGACUCAACAAACCAGCCAAACCUAGAAAGUGAGUUGAGCUUGAGUUAUUGUCUAUUGACCAAAUCUUCGAACACAUCGAGGUCCUGGGCAUCGCAUGUGAUGAGUCAAGUAGGGUUGAGCCAUGAGAUUUUCAAUUUUUUCAAAUCAUUUAACGUAUAUCUUCAAUUCAACUGAACUCAUGUGCUUUUAAAUUAACAAUCUUCUUACGUGGAUACCCAAAUUUACAUAAUUAAAUAGGUUGAAGACUUAAAACUUCAGAGACUGGGUAACCCAUAACCACACUAAGUGAAAAGUUGGGGUGCCCAAUCCUAAUUUAUUCUCGUUCUUUUAUAGGCUAUAUAGAAACCAAUUCUAUGCGCAGCUUCAGGAUAUGGCUAUGGCGGUCGCACAAGUUUCAAGGAUUUACAAUCUCCAGCAUCCUCUUCCAGCUUUGCCAAGAUUUGCCCCACAUCAAACUACUCUCCCCACGAUGCCGUCCAGGAAUCUCUCUCUUGUUAGAGCUUCGAAGCCGGGAAGAGAAAACACAAAUGAGCCCGAUUCUGCGACCUUCAUUUCUUCGGUAAGCCACACACUUUAACAAGCAAUGGUUAAUGAAAAAAUAAAUUGUGGAUAAUCAUUAAUCCUUGUGUUUUGAUUGGAUAGGCGGACUUGAAUUACUUAGUGAAAUUAGGAGCUGGUUCUCUUGCUGGUGCAGCUGCAAUUAAAUAUGGAAGUAUCAUACUCCCAGAAAUAACACAGCCCAACAUUGUGCAGGCACUGAUUAUGAUAACUACUCCAGUUAUUGUAGCUGUCGUCCUUCUGAUCAAGCAAAGCCGUGUAGAUUGAACAAGUUUUUAUUUGACAUUUGCCCUGGAAGUGAACACAAGAUGAACUUCGUCCAGCUUCUAUUUGGAGAUCGAGGAAGAUAUGCCCAACCCAUGAUUUUGAACUAUGUUUUCGACAAUGAUACAUAAAGAAACAGUGAAUUUCGUGAGUAAAAUGUUGUAAUAAUGCGUUGUUCAGAGUCCUUGGGUUUAUGAAUAAACACAUUGUUAAGGGC
This 3629-nucleotide long non-coding RNA is filed under the name Olea europaea subsp. europaea. Lineage: Eukaryota; Viridiplantae; Streptophyta; Magnoliopsida; Lamiales; Oleaceae. The record is from RNAcentral.